RNAcentral lists this ribosomal RNA (497 nucleotides) under uncultured bacterium. RNAcentral describes it as "partial 16S ribosomal RNA". It matches the Rfam family "Bacterial small subunit ribosomal RNA", at positions 28 to 507 of the family's 1533-position model. The record is from RNAcentral.
GAUGAACGCUGGCGGCGUGCCUAAUACAUGCAAGUCGAGCGAACAGAUAAGGAGCUUGCUCCUUUGACGUUAGCGGCGGACGGGUGAGUUACACGUGGAUAACCUACCUAUAAGACUGGGAUAACUUCGGGAAACCGGAGCUAAUACCGGAUAACAUAUUGAACCGCAUGGUUCAAUAGUGAAAAGCGGCUUUGCUGUCACUUAUAGAUGGAUCCGCGCCGGAUUAGCUAGUUGUUAAGGUAACGGCUUACCAAGGCAACGAUACGUAGCCGACCUGAGAGGGUGAUCGGCCACACUGGAACUGAGACACGGUCCAGACUCCUACGGGAGGCAGCAGUAGGGAAUCUUCCGCAAUGGGGGAAAGCCUGACGGAGCAACGCCGCGUGAGUGAUGAAGGUCUUCGGAUCGUAAAACUCUGUUAUCAGGGAAGAACAAAUGUGUAAGUAACUGUGCACAUCUUGACGGUACCUGAUCAGAAAGCCACGGCUAACUACGUG